GCGAUGUAGCCAAUCAUAAUCAAGUUUAAUUUAACACAUAUACUUCUGAUAUUUCUUGAUAUAACAAGCUCACAUCUAGAUUGGAUAUUCAAUACACAAAAAAUACAAAAUCGAACACAAAAAUACGAAGUCCCAAAAAAAGAUCUUAGGACGCGAGUAAAUCUACAAUAGGCCACCACCUGCACGGUGGACUUCUUAAGCAAGUAAUUAUAUAUUGGGUGAAUAAUUACUCGGAUUAGCGCUAUUAAUGAUUAAUAAUGGUUCGAACCAAGGCAGGGAAACAUUAUCUAUGACGACCCCUUGUUUCGCAUCCAUCCGUUCAAGGGUAGAUGCUUAGCGGGAUAGGCUUUCUCACGUAUGAAAAAUUGAUCAAAUAGUUGAAAAGUGAUGGAAAAAGAAUUUAAAACCUGUUUCUUAUGUACGUUAAUACGGUUACCAAAAAUUUCUGCAGUUCACUAAUAAGUAACAGGGUCAAUCAGCUUAUGCGGCCUCUCUUAUUGCUGCCUAAUUUAAAUGUGGCCUCUAAUGGUAAAAAGGAUCCCCACCUCUGAUCUAGACUACACUUAUACCAGCGCAUCGUGGAGACAUUUCAUUAAAUUCUAAUAAAUUGUCAUUUUAGAAACGAUGAAAUU
Molecule: long non-coding RNA, 632 nt
Organism: Diorhabda carinulata
Lineage: Eukaryota; Metazoa; Arthropoda; Insecta; Coleoptera; Chrysomelidae
Exons: 3
Source: RefSeq, a predicted model, not a curated record